GGGAAACGCCCGGUCACAUUCCGAACCCGGAAGCUAAGACUCUCAGCGCCGAUGGUACUGCAGGGGGGACCCUGUGGGAGAGUAGGACACCGCCGGAC
RNAcentral lists this ribosomal RNA (98 nucleotides) under Cryobacterium flavum. The record is from RNAcentral. Lineage: Bacteria; Bacillati; Actinomycetota; Actinomycetes; Micrococcales; Microbacteriaceae.